ACCAAAUGCUUCCAAAUGCCAAUUUAUAUUAAGCUCGCCCCAUUCCUCUUUCAUUUGUCGCGCGCCGUAAGUACUCGAUGAAAAGCAUUAUAUUGUUCAUAUAUAUAUACAUUAUACCUAGGUAUAAUGUAUAUAUAUAUAAUGCUUUUCAUUGAGUGCUUGUGGCGCACGACAAAUGACAGAGGAAUGGGGCGAGCUUAAUAUAAAUUGACAUUUGGUGCAUUCUA
RNAcentral lists this microRNA precursor (227 nucleotides) under Paramuricea clavata. The record is from RNAcentral. Lineage: Eukaryota; Metazoa; Cnidaria; Anthozoa; Malacalcyonacea; Plexauridae.